AUUGAACGCUGGCGGCAGGCCUAACACAUGCAAGUCGAGCGAGCGGCGGACGGGUGAGUAAUGUAUGGGGACUGCCCGAUAGAGGGGGAUAACUACUGGAAACGGUGGCUAAUACCGCAUACUAUCGGAUACCCCAUAUGGGAUUAGCUUGUAGGUGGGGUAACGGCUCACCUAGGCGACGAUCCCUAGCUGGUCUGAGAGGAUGGUCAGCAAAACUGGGACUGAGAAACGGCCAAGACUCCUACGGGGGCAGAAGGGGGGAAAAUUGGACAAGGGGGGCAAGCCUGGUGCAGACAUGCCGGGGGUAUGAAGAAGGCCUUAGGGUUGUAAAGUACUUUUAGCGGGGAGGCGUUACCCGAAGAAGAAGCACCGGCUAACUCCGUGCCAGCAGCCGCGGUAAUUC
Molecule: ribosomal RNA, 403 nt
Filed under: uncultured bacterium
Lineage: Bacteria
Description: partial 16S ribosomal RNA
Rfam family: Bacterial small subunit ribosomal RNA
Source: RNAcentral